RNAcentral lists this ribosomal RNA (413 nucleotides) under uncultured bacterium. RNAcentral's name for it is "partial 16S ribosomal RNA". It matches the Rfam family "Bacterial small subunit ribosomal RNA", at positions 193 to 592 of the family's 1533-position model. The record is from RNAcentral.
GGGAGGAAAGUAGGGGAUCGCAAGACCUCUCACUAUUGGAGCGGCCGAUGUCUGAUUAGCUAGUUGGCGGGGUAAAAGCCCACCAAGGCGACGAUCAGUAGCUGGUUUGAGAGAACGACCAGCCACACUGGGACUGAGACACGGCCCAGACUCCUACGGGAGGCAGCAGUGGGGAAUUUUGGACAAUGGGGGCAACCCUGAUCCAGCCAUGCCGCGUGCGGGAAGAAGGCCUUCGGGUUGUAAANNNNUUUUGUCAGGGAAGAAAUGGACUUUNNUAAUACAAGAGUUCGAUGACGGUACCUGGAGAAUAAGCACCGGCUAACUACGUGCCAGCAGCCGCGGUAAUACGUAGGGUGCAAGCGNNNAUCGGAAUUACUGGGCGUAAAGCGUGCGCAGGCGGUUUNNAAGUCAGA